AUCAAAAACACAGCACUCUGCGAAAUCGUAAGAUGAAGUAUAGGGUGUGACGCCGGCCCGGGGCUGGAAGGUUAAUUGAAGGGGUUAGCGCAAGCGAAGCUCUGGAUCGAAGCCCCAGUAAACGGCGGCCGUAACUAAAACGGUCCUAAGGUAGCGAAAUUCCAUGUCGGGUAAGUUCCGACCUGCACGAAUGGCGUAACGAAGGCCACACUGUCUCCACCAGAGACUCAG
This 231-nucleotide ribosomal RNA is filed under the name Francisella tularensis subsp. holarctica. Its description in RNAcentral is "partial 23S ribosomal RNA". It matches the Rfam family "Bacterial large subunit ribosomal RNA", at positions 1806 to 2036 of the family's 2925-position model. Lineage: Bacteria; Pseudomonadati; Pseudomonadota; Gammaproteobacteria; Thiotrichales; Francisellaceae. The record is from RNAcentral.